ACUGCUUUUCUUUGAUAUCCCUGAAUUGAGGAGCCCGUCGUUCACGCCGGUUAGGUUCAAGAACGACGGGCAUUUUCUU
This is a small RNA of Dickeya dadantii 3937, 79 nucleotides long. It matches the Rfam family "RybB RNA". Rfam says of the family: This ncRNA was identified in a large scale screen of E. coli. The record is from Rfam. NCBI's taxonomy places the organism in Bacteria, Pseudomonadati, Pseudomonadota, Gammaproteobacteria, Enterobacterales, Pectobacteriaceae.